This 329-nucleotide ribosomal RNA is filed under the name Citrobacter koseri. RNAcentral's name for it is "partial 23S ribosomal RNA". It matches the Rfam family "Bacterial large subunit ribosomal RNA", at positions 911 to 1238 of the family's 2925-position model. Lineage: Bacteria; Pseudomonadati; Pseudomonadota; Gammaproteobacteria; Enterobacterales; Enterobacteriaceae. The record is from RNAcentral.
UGUUUCGGCUAGGGGGCCAUCCCGGCUUACCAACCCGAUGCAAACUGCGAAUACCGGAGAAUGUUAUCACGGGAGACACACGGCGGGUGCUAACGUCCGUCGUGAAGAGGGAAACAACCCAGACCGCCAGCUAAGGUCCCAAAGUCAUGGUUAAGUGGGAAACGAUGUGGGAAGGCCCAGACAGCCAGGAUGUUGGCUUAGAAGCAGCCAUCAUUUAAAGAAAGCGUAAUAGCUCACUGGUCGAGUCGGCCUGCGCGGAAGAUGUAACGGGGCUAAACCAUGCACCGAAGCUGCGGCAGCGACACUAUGUGUUGUUGGGUAGGGGAGCG